GGAGGUAGUGACAAUAAAUCACAAUGCGGAACUUCUGUUUUGCAAUUGGAUUGAGAACAACGCACAACAUUUAUCGAUAAACAAUUGGAGGGCAAGUCUGGCGCCAGCAGCCGCGGUAAUUCCAGCUCCAAUAGCGUAUAUUAACGUUGUUGCAGUUAAAAAGCUCGUAGUUGAAGUGAAGUGUGAAUCUCUUGGAUUUUCGUUUGAAUUUCCUUUAGCUUCAUACUCUUUCCAAAUAGUUUGCAUGGGUAUUUACUUAUCUGUGUAUUGCAUUUGGUCAUUUACUGUGAGAAAAUUAGAGUGUUCAAAGCAUACGUUUGUUUGAAUACAUUAGCAUGGAAUAAUUCGAAAAGGCUUUCAUGUUCGAUUUGAUUGGUUUGUUCGUGAAGGCAAGAUUAAAAGGGACAGUUGGGGGUAUUCAUAUUCAAUAGUCAGAGGUGAAAUUCUCGGAUUUAUGGAAGAUGAACAAGUGCGAAAGCA
This 480-nucleotide ribosomal RNA is filed under the name Blastocystis sp. RNAcentral's name for it is "SSU rRNA". It matches the Rfam family "Eukaryotic small subunit ribosomal RNA", at positions 460 to 953 of the family's 1831-position model. The record is from RNAcentral. Lineage: Eukaryota; Bigyra; Opalinata; Blastocystidae.